This is a non-coding RNA of Pelobates cultripes (western spadefoot toad), 231 nucleotides long. NCBI's taxonomy places the organism in Eukaryota, Metazoa, Chordata, Amphibia, Anura, Pelobatidae. The record is from the annotation of a GenBank genome assembly.
GCUGUGCAUUACGGCCAAACAUCUCCAGUUUGGUCUCAUCUGUCCAAAGGACAUUGUUCCAGAAGUCUUGUGGUUUGUUCCCAUGCAACUUUGCAAACCUAAACCUUGCUGCCAUGUUCUUUUUAGAGAGAAGAGGCUUUCUCCUGACAAUCAUUGCAAACAAACCAUACUUGUUCAGUCUUAUUCUUUUAAAAUAUAACACAUUGAGUCAAAAGGAAAACACAAUAUGCA